GCUUACGGCCACACGGCCUGAGUACGCCUGAUCUCGUUCCGAUCUCGGAAGCUAAGCAGGGUCGGGCCUGGUUAGUACUUGGAUGGGAGACCGCCUGGGCAUACCAGGUGCUGUAAGCU
Molecule: ribosomal RNA, 119 nt
Filed under: Oncorhynchus mykiss (rainbow trout)
Lineage: Eukaryota; Metazoa; Chordata; Actinopteri; Salmoniformes; Salmonidae
Source: RNAcentral